Molecule: ribosomal RNA, 279 nt
Filed under: uncultured bacterium
Lineage: Bacteria
Description: partial 16S ribosomal RNA
Rfam family: Bacterial small subunit ribosomal RNA
Source: RNAcentral
UAAUACGUAGGGAGCAAGCGUUGUCCGGAAUCAUUGGGCGUAAAGCGCGCGUAGGUGGCCACAUAAGUCCGUUGUGAAAGUCAAAGGCUCAACCUUUGAAAGCCGAUGGAUACUGUGUGGCUAGAGUACGGAAGAGGCGCGUGGAAUUCCUGGUGUAGCGGUGGAAUGAGCAGAUAUCAGGAGGAACACCAAUAGCGAAGGCAGCUCGCUGGGACGUUACUGACACUGAGGCGCGAAAGCGUGGGGAGCGAACAGGAUUAGAUACCCUGGGAGUCCACG